Molecule: ribosomal RNA, 468 nt
Filed under: uncultured bacterium
Lineage: Bacteria
Description: partial 16S ribosomal RNA
Rfam family: Bacterial small subunit ribosomal RNA
Source: RNAcentral
GACGAACGCUGGCGGCGUGCUUAACACAUACAAGUCGAACGGAAAGGCCCUGCUUUUGUGGGGUGCUCGAGUGGCGAACGGGUGAGUAACACGUGAGUAACCUGCCCUUGACUUUGGGAUAACUUCAGGAAACUGGGGCUAAUACCGGAUAGGAGCUCCUGCUGCAUGGUGGGGGUUGGAAAGUUUCGGCGGUUGGGGAUGGACUCGCGGCUUAUCAGCUUGUUGGCGGGGUAGUGGCUUACCAAGGCUUUGACGGGUAGCCGGCCUGAGAGGGUGACCGGCCACAUUGGGACUGAGAUACGGCCCAGACUCCUACGGGAGGCAGCAGUGGGGAAUAUUGCACAAUGGGCGGAAGCCUGAUGCAGCAACGCCGCGUGCGGGAUGACGGCCUUCGGGUUGUAAACCGCUUUCGCCUGUGACGAAGCGUGAGUGACGGUAAUGGGUAAAGAAGCACCGGCUAACUACGUG